AAUUUAUAGGACGGCUCCCCCCGCGCCCCGGUCGGCCAAUGGCCGCCUCCUUUCCCCGGGCGUCAGUGACGUAAGGCCGUGGCGUGGGGUCGCGUGGCGCCUCCUCGUUUAGGCACGAGGGGAUUUAAACUACAAAAGAAAGAAGAAAGCCAAAAAUUAUGAGAAACCGGAUGUCCUUUUCCCAAGGUGGAAAAAGAGAAUAACUUGCGAAGGGACGGUGUCUUUUUGGAGAUCAGUCCAUAGCUUCACGCACAUCUCUCCCCGAACCUUUGCGGCCACGGCUAACAUGGCGGGGGAGCGGGAGAGUCUUUUUUUUUUUCCUCAGGACAUCAAGAGGGGAAGGGAAUGGAUGUGGCUGAGUUAUCCGGUCACGGGCAAGUAAUCCAUGUGGCACAAAUAGUGCACAGCUGAAAACCAUCUCUAGUUGAUGCAAACCUGGGAAUUAAACCCAGAUCCUCCCACAAGAUCAAACCACUGAGCGUGUACCCAGCCCUCCAACUAAUUGCUAAAGUUUGAAGUAAAAUUAGCAUAAACUGCAGGUAUCAAUAUUUAAUGUUAAUAGUUUUGUGUAUCGUUGAAGUCAUCCCCACGAUGAAACAUUUCCUUCAGCUUCGGAAGUUUCCUCAAGCCCAUUUACAGUAUCAUGGCUCUCCUUCCUGUGUCUGGAUACUGGUUUCAUUUUCUGAAAGUGUUGACUGGAUCAUAUAUAAUGAUCAUCUUAUCUGCCUUCUUCAAAUGGCAUGAGUAUUUUAAGCAAUAGGAACCCUAACUAAGACACUUCCUGUAAGGGAUCUGGAAUCUCCCUUCCUCCUAGAACCAAGACUGAACUGCCUUGAAACUGGUAAGUAGCCUUCUUCAGUCAUUGAUACCACUGCAAAAGAAGCUUCCUUGCCCAUAACAGCCAGCAGCAGCACAGAUCAUGGACUUCCACAUGGCUUCAGCGGCAGCAAGGACCAUGGAUAUCAGCAUGGCCUUGGGCAGCAGCCACAUGGACCACAGACAACUCAGCCUCCAGCAGCAGCACAAACCAUGGAGGUCUUUCGAGGAGACCCAAUCCAGAAAUGAACCAUUCUCCAUCUCAGACAUCCUGCCAUUCGUUGCUCGGAGCCAGGGAAAUGGUGUGACUGGGCAGCACUCGCCUGAGCUCCGGGCUGCUGCACACCACCCCGCCAGCUUAGCUCUACUCAGCACCAGCGUGCCAUGUUCCCACACCUGAGGCCACCACUGUGUCUGUAGUACUGCCUCUUCCCACCUGGCCUGCAACUCCAUUCUCUUAUCUUUUCCGCCUCCCCAUCCAUCAUUUAUUCACUGAAGUGGAACUGCAAAGUGCAGUGUGUCACACAGUAUAUAUAUAAUUUACCCAAACAACUGUACAUGCAAAUACUUACUGCAGUGAGUCAUUGGUCUGGCUCCAGGUUUCUGGUUUCUGAAGCACCAUGUAUACUGGACUAUCACUGAGACUCAUCUCAGAUAUCCUGUUCUUGCCCAGAAUCAGGGUGACCUUGCAGGGUCAGCACCUUGAGGUUGGUUGGUCCUUGCCUCCUGGCAGGCAGAGAACUGGCCUUACUCAGCAGUGACAAGUUCUUUGUCCACAACAGCCAUGCUGCUCCUCCUGUUUUUAACACUCUCCCACCCCUGAGUUUCUGACCCCUUUAUUCGGUAUUAUGCCAAAUAACUUCUGGAACUCCAUACAGAUAUUCUAUAUCCUCUGCACACCAUCCCUACAGUCUCUUAGGACCAGCUGCAGGCACCUUUGUCAGAGUUCAGAUGCCGUAUCGGUAUGAGGGCUUCCACCUCAUCCUUUCCUACCAAACUUCAUUUUCCUUUUUCCUCCUAGUCUUUGAUCCAGCAUAGUCUCAAGAUCUGCUCUCAGACAUGUUUCCUGGGUUCCAGCCAACACCCUUGGACCAGAAUCUGCAGUCCAUUCAGGCCGUAACUACUCUCCUGUGGAAAGACUAUUUCCUGGUGGGGUAUACUAAGACCUGAUCCUGAUUAUUAAUUUGGAGUCAGUGAAAGGUAGCAGGAGUGGAUUUUGAGAAUGACAAGUGUCACUUUGUCAUGCAACUGCCUUAGGUUAUUUUUUAAUUAAAUUUUUACUACAUUUAGGUGUAUGUAUGUAUGUAUGUGUAUAUAUGUGCUAUAACAGGAGGUGUCCAAUACAUUUAUACACAAUGGGCAACUUGGUAAGACAAUGUAAAAAAAUCAAGUGAUUUUAUUAGAAAGAGGCUUAUAAUUUUAAAAUAUAAUUUUUAGUUAAAAACAUAAGUUAACAUUCCAAAGCUUAAAAAGUAAAAACUAAUGGUUUUAACUUUCCAUUUUGAAUGAAAAUCUGGCCCAUAUGUAUUUGUUUAAA
This is a non-coding RNA of Peromyscus maniculatus bairdii (prairie deer mouse), 2353 nucleotides long. Lineage: Eukaryota; Metazoa; Chordata; Mammalia; Rodentia; Cricetidae. The record is from RefSeq and is a predicted model, not a curated record.